UUCCUCAUGGCCCAAUGGUCAAGGCGUCUGGCUACGAACCAGAAGAUUCCAGGUUCGACUCCUGGUGGGGAAG
Molecule: transfer RNA, 73 nt
Filed under: Clavispora lusitaniae
Lineage: Eukaryota; Fungi; Ascomycota; Pichiomycetes; Serinales; Metschnikowiaceae
Also listed under: 7 other names
Description: tRNA-Arg
Rfam family: tRNA
About the family: Transfer RNA (tRNA) molecules are approximately 80 nucleotides in length. Their secondary structure includes four short double-helical elements and three loops (D, anti-codon, and T loops). Further hydrogen bonds mediate the characteristic L-shaped molecular structure. tRNAs have two regions of fundamental functional importance: the anti-codon, which is responsible for specific mRNA codon recognition, and the 3' end, to which the tRNAs corresponding amino acid is attached (by aminoacyl-tRNA synthetases). tRNAs cope with the degeneracy of the genetic code in two manners: having more than one tRNA (with a specific anti-codon) for a particular amino acid; and 'wobble' base-pairing, i.e. permitting non-standard base-pairing at the 3rd anti-codon position.
Source: RNAcentral